Molecule: long non-coding RNA, 328 nt
Filed under: Sorghum bicolor (sorghum)
Lineage: Eukaryota; Viridiplantae; Streptophyta; Magnoliopsida; Poales; Poaceae
Description: long non-coding RNA (SBIC_LNC012992)
Source: RNAcentral
UGCGCGUGAUUCAUUGGAUAUACUUCUACUCUACAACGUCGGUAUAACAAUCACUCCCCUCUCCUUUACCUUUGUGUAUACCUUGCUAGUUGUGUAGCUUGUUUAGCUUAGCUAUCUUGUUUAGGAGAGUAGCAAGCUUCUAGUUGUGCUUUCUUGUUGUAACUAGUGUUUAGCCUUCUUGCUAGACUUGUGUAGGUGGCUUGCAUAGCUUAGUUGUGCUAGUGCUAGAAUAGCUUCGCCUUUUGUUUUACUAAUCAACUUGUCUAGUUGAAGUUUGUAGAAUUUUUAAAUAGGCUAUUCACCCCCCCUCUAGCCAUUUGGACCUUUA